This 1731-nucleotide long non-coding RNA is filed under the name Helianthus annuus (common sunflower). RNAcentral describes it as "hypothetical non coding rna". The record is from RNAcentral. Lineage: Eukaryota; Viridiplantae; Streptophyta; Magnoliopsida; Asterales; Asteraceae.
UGUGCGUGUGUGUGUGUACGAGCAGAGGAGAAGAAAAGAAGGGGGAGCCCUUCUCAAACCCUAAGCAACGAAUUGGAAGGAUUCUGGCCGAAAUCGAACCUGCAUGAACCUUAAUAGUGAUAAUCUAAGCAAGAUGUAACCAAGGAACGUGUCAAGGAGAGCUCAAGCAUAGGAGGAUAACGGGUCAAGAUAAGGCAAGGUGACAAAUACACUUAUUGGAGUACUCAAGGUAAGUGAUUUCUGUAAUCACUUCUUAUUUUAUUUAAGUAAAGUAGCGUUAGUUGAUUAAGCAUGAUGAGGUUUGAAGUUUCAUAUGGUUUUGGCCGUAUGAAAUUGGUAAUUUUAGCUUAGUAGACCGAAUGGGACAAUAUAAGGUUGUAAUGAUAUGACGAAUAAUGUCUAUGUAAUGGCUACGGUAUGUAACCGGGUAAUGGCUAAAAUUUGCACAUAAGUGCACCAACCGAGAAUGGGGACUUAGGUUAAUGGGUCAAAGUGAAGGUAUACUUUAGCACGAAACGUUUGUACAAGCAAUGUCGAUAGUAUUUCAUGUGCCCGGUUAGUGUAAGGUGUUAUAACAUUAACAUUAUGUGAGCCUUAAGUGUAAACAUAUGAGUUGUUGAUAAAUGCAUGACGGGUCGAAUAAUUCGUAAUGAAUAAUAAGCCGAAAAUGUAUAAGUUAAGAAUUUCCUAACCCGGAUGUUGGAUUUUAAGUUCACAUAAUAGAAUGUUAGUUUACAAUCAUGCAGGAAGAAACGUGAGGUUAAUCGGGUAAACGGUUUAAAAGCUAUGCAAGUUUUUGUGCGUGCGAACGACAAAACAACACAGCAGAAAAAUGGCAAAACUAGAGGCCGUCGCCGACGCCCCUAUGGGCCGUCGCCGACGCCUUGUGCAUUUUUAGUUUUCUCCGACGCCUAAUUUUCCUGUCUACGGAGGUUUCUGGCUACGCGAAAAACUAAUAGCCGUCGCCGACGCCCUAUAGGGCCGUCGCCGACGGCCUCCACAUGUUUUAAAUGCUGAAAUUCGUUAAUUAAGUUAUUGUGUGUACCGUAAGCUUCGGUAUAUUAACCGUGGUCUACGAUGGGCCUCCCAAACAUAAUUUUGAAUGUUUCCUUGAUGUUUUUGGAUCAUAAAUCCAAGUCUAAGCACUCCAUAAUUAAUGUACGAGUAUGAUAAGUGAAUGCGAAUAAGUUAAAUCAAGAAUUGAAUGUAAGUAAGUAUGUGUAGACAUGAUUAUGUAAGCAUUUAGUUAUGUAUAUAGAUAAGUAGAUGUGUAGAUAUGUAGGUGCGUAUGAUUAGACGUAUGAAUAUACGAAUGCACGAAGUAGGAUUUAUCGCCUAUGAAAAGAAUGGGACAGGUAUGUAUAUAUACAUGGUUUCAAUACGUUUGAGUAUGGACGUUACUAAUGAUGUGCUUGAGAUUGGGAUGUAAUGCAGGAAUGAGAACGUCAGACUCUUGUAGAAUUGAAGCCGAACCUGGAAGUCGAACUCGAAACAAAGGAAUCCGAGAGGAUAGUCGAAUGAAUUAGAGUUUAUGUUGUACUACACGGAUUUCUUCUACCACUAUCGAAGAUAAGCGGGCAUAGAUCGAGUCGAAUAACAAGGAUUGUACGGAAAGAACGGUUACGUAGUCUUAAUUUUGUAACGCAUUAAUUUGUAAAAAGGGGAAGUGAAUUUUGUAAGCUUCUUCUUGAAUGUGUGUAUUAUUUUAAAGAUCGUAAAGGAAUUUUUUUA